Molecule: ribosomal RNA, 253 nt
Filed under: uncultured bacterium
Lineage: Bacteria
Description: partial 16S ribosomal RNA
Rfam family: Bacterial small subunit ribosomal RNA
Source: RNAcentral
UACGAAGGGGGCUAGCGUUGUUCGGAAUCACUGGGCGUAAAGGGCGCGUAGGCGGCUGUUCAAGUCGGGGGUGAGAUCCCGUGGCUCAACCACGGAAUGGCCUUCGAUACUGGACGGCUCGAGACCGGAAGAGGUGAGUGGAACUGCGAGUGUAGAGGUGAAAUUCGUAGAUAUUCGCAAGAACACCAGUGGCGAAGGCGGCUCACUGGUCCGGUUCUGACGCUGAGGCGCGAAAGCGUGGGGAGCAAACAGG